This 492-nucleotide ribosomal RNA is filed under the name uncultured bacterium. RNAcentral's name for it is "partial 16S ribosomal RNA". It matches the Rfam family "Bacterial small subunit ribosomal RNA", at positions 29 to 507 of the family's 1533-position model. The record is from RNAcentral.
AGUGAACGCUGGCGGUAGGCCUAACACAUGCAAGUCGAACGGCAGCACAGUAAGAGCUUGCUCUUACGGGUGGCGAGUGGCGGACGGGUGAGGAAUACAUCGGAAUCUACUUUUUCGUGGGGGAUAACGUAGGGAAACUUACGCUAAUACCGCAUACGACCUACGGGUGAAAGCAGGGGAUCUUCGGACCUUGCGCGAUUGAAUGAGCCGAUGUCGGAUUAGCUAGUUGGCGGGGUAAAGGCCCACCAAGGCGACGAUCCGUAGCUGGUCUGAGAGGAUGAUCAGCCACACUGGAACUGCGCCACGGUCCAGACUCCUACGGGAGGCAGCAGUGGGGAAUAUUGGACAAUGGGCGCAAUCCUGAUCCAGCCAUACCGCGUGGGUGAAGAAGGCCUUCGGGUUGUAAAGCCCUUUUGUUGGGAAAGAAAAGCAGCAGGUUAAUACCCCGCUGUUCUGACGGUACCCAAAGAAUAAGCACCGGCUAACUUCGUG